Molecule: unclassified non-coding RNA, 377 nt
Filed under: Hevea brasiliensis (rubber tree)
Lineage: Eukaryota; Viridiplantae; Streptophyta; Magnoliopsida; Malpighiales; Euphorbiaceae
Source: RNAcentral
UGGGUAUUAUAUAUGAUUCACUGACCUCUCCUGGCUGGAAGGAAGGAGCAAAGGAAGGGGUGUCGAGCUUGGUCAUGCGGCCUUGCAUAUAAGGAUCACAAGAAAAGUAAAGAUUCUUGAGCAAAACAGCAUUUUGAGUGCCUUCUGGGAUCUUAAGCUUUAUAGAAGAAGUGAUAAUUUGCAUAUCAGACUCUUUAGGAUACCCAGUAACAUAGUUCUUCAAUACCACCUGCUUGUUGCUCACUUCUUCAGCCAUUGUUCUUCGUUCCGUAGCUUUUAAUUAGUUUUUGUUGCUCUGGAGAGGGCGCCUUAUAUAGGAUCGAAUAUGGCAAAGGAGGAAGGAGGAGCACGGCCGAAGCGUGAACAGUGAACUACUG